RNAcentral lists this transfer RNA (85 nucleotides) under Dehalococcoidia bacterium. RNAcentral describes it as "tRNA-Leu". It matches the Rfam family "tRNA". Rfam says of the family: Transfer RNA (tRNA) molecules are approximately 80 nucleotides in length. Their secondary structure includes four short double-helical elements and three loops (D, anti-codon, and T loops). Further hydrogen bonds mediate the characteristic L-shaped molecular structure. tRNAs have two regions of fundamental functional importance: the anti-codon, which is responsible for specific mRNA codon recognition, and the 3' end, to which the tRNAs corresponding amino acid is attached (by aminoacyl-tRNA synthetases). tRNAs cope with the degeneracy of the genetic code in two manners: having more than one tRNA (with a specific anti-codon) for a particular amino acid; and 'wobble' base-pairing, i.e. permitting non-standard base-pairing at the 3rd anti-codon position. The record is from RNAcentral. Lineage: Bacteria; Bacillati; Chloroflexota; Dehalococcoidia.
GGGGGAGUGCCGGAAUUGGUAGACGGGCAUGACUUAGGAUCAUGUGUCGAAAGGCGUCGGGGUUCGAGUCCCCGCUUCCCCACCA